ACCACCAUCAGCUUUGCGACUCUUUGACCCAUGGGGGUCUAUUGGCCUACUAAUAUAGGAACCUCAGGUCAGGCGAGGCUACCCACUGGUGGGAUCCCCUUGUGGGUUGCAGCGCCGACCGUCCCUGAUCUUCUAUGAAGGGUUCGAGUGAGAGCAUACCUGUCGGGACCCGAAAGAUGGUGAACUAUGCCUGAGUGGGUGAAGCCAAUGGAGGCCUGCAGUGAUAUUGACGUGCAAAUCGUUCGUCUAACUUGGUUAUAAGGGCGAAAGACUAAUCGAACCGUCUAGUAGUUGGUUCGCUCUGAAGUUUCCCUCAGCAUAGUUGGAGCCCACGGGCGAGUUCUAUCGGGUAAAGCCAAUGAUUAGAGGCAUCAGGGGCGCAACGCCCUUGACCUAUUCUCAAACUUUAAUUAGGUAAGACGGUGUGGUUUCUUUGUUGAGCUAUGCCAAAGAAUCGAGAGCUCCAAAUGGGCCAGUUUUGGUAAGCAGAACUGGCGAUGCGGGAGGAACCAGAAGCUGGGUUACGGUUCCCAACUACGCGCUAACCUAGACCCCACAAAGGGUGUUGGUCGAUUAAGAUAGCAGGACAGUGGUCUUGGAAGUCGAAAUCCACUAAGGAGUGUGUAACAACGCACCUGUCGAAUCAAUUAGCCCCGAAAAUGGAUGCGCUAAAGCGCGCAACCUAUACCUGGGCGUAGCGGUCGUUUGUGCAGAUCUUAGUGGUAGUAGCAAAUAUUCAAAUGAUAACUUUGAAGGCCUAACAGGGGAAAUGUUCCAUGUAAACGCCACUUGCACAUGGGUUAGUCAUUUCUAAGGGACGGGGGAAGCCCGUCUGAUAGCGCUCUAAGUGUGCACUUCGAAAGGGAAUUGGGUAAAAAUUCCUGAACCGGGACGUGGCGGCUGAUGGCAACGUUAGGAAGUCCGAAGACGUCGGCGGGGACCCCGGAAAGAGUUAUCUUUACUGUUUAACAUCAUGCCCAUCCUGGAAACGGCUCAGCCAGAGGUAGGGUCCAACUACUGGAAGAGCACUGCAUGUCAUGUGUUUUUUUGUGCCUCCCACGCCCGGACGUACUCCUAACCGCAAUAGGUCUCCAAGGUGAACAAGCUCUGGUC
Molecule: ribosomal RNA, 1113 nt
Filed under: Lupinus angustifolius (narrow-leaved blue lupine)
Lineage: Eukaryota; Viridiplantae; Streptophyta; Magnoliopsida; Fabales; Fabaceae
Description: rRNA LSU_rRNA_eukarya
Rfam family: Eukaryotic large subunit ribosomal RNA
Source: RNAcentral